RNAcentral lists this ribosomal RNA (243 nucleotides) under uncultured Lactobacillus sp. RNAcentral's name for it is "partial 16S ribosomal RNA". It matches the Rfam family "Bacterial small subunit ribosomal RNA", at positions 119 to 354 of the family's 1533-position model. Lineage: Bacteria; Bacillati; Bacillota; Bacilli; Lactobacillales; Lactobacillaceae. The record is from RNAcentral.
GGGUAACCUGCCCAAGAGAUCGGGAUAACACCUGGAAACAGAUGCUAAUACCGGAUAACAACAGAUGAUGCCUAUCAACUGUUUAAAAGAUGGUUCUGCUAUCACUCUUGGAUGGACCUGCGGUGCAUUAGCUAGUUGGUAGGGUAACGGCCUACCAAGGCGAUGAUGCAUAGCCGAGUUGAGAGACUGAUCGGCCACAUUGGGACUGAGACACGGCCCAAACUCCUACGGGAGGCAGCAGGC